GACAACGUGGCCGGGCGGUUAAGGCGAUAGACUAGAAAUCUAUUACUCUCUGAGUGCGCAGGUUCAAGUCCUGCCGUUGUCG
RNAcentral lists this transfer RNA (82 nucleotides) under Rhizoclosmatium globosum. It matches the Rfam family "tRNA". From Rfam's summary of the family: Transfer RNA (tRNA) molecules are approximately 80 nucleotides in length. Their secondary structure includes four short double-helical elements and three loops (D, anti-codon, and T loops). Lineage: Eukaryota; Fungi; Chytridiomycota; Chytridiomycetes; Chytridiales; Chytriomycetaceae. The record is from Rfam by way of RNAcentral.